Molecule: transfer RNA, 79 nt
Filed under: Burkholderia multivorans
Lineage: Bacteria; Pseudomonadati; Pseudomonadota; Betaproteobacteria; Burkholderiales; Burkholderiaceae
Description: tRNA-Ser(gga)
Source: RNAcentral
UGCGCGCACCGCGCGGAAUUGAAGGCCGCGCUGGAGGCGCGGCUCGCCGCGCAUGCGUGCGAACCGCUCGCGCGCGACC